GAUUCCCCUAGUAACUGCGAGUGAAGCGGGAAAAGCUCAAAUUUAAAAUCUGGCGGUCUUUGGCCGUCCGAGUUGUAGUCUGGAGAAGUGCUUUCCGCGCUGGACCGUGUACAAGUCUCCUGGAACGGAGCGUCAUAGAGGGUGAGAAUCCCGUCUUUGACACGGACUACCAGUGCUCUGUGAUGCGCUCUCAAAGAGUCGAGUUGUUUGGGAAUGCAGCUCAAAAUGGGUGGUGAAUUCCAUCUAAAGCUAAAUAUUGGCGAGAGACCGAUAGCGAACAAGUACCGUGAGGGAAAGAUGAAAAGCACUUUGGAAAGAGAGUUAAACAGUACGUGAAAUUGCUGAAAGGGAAACGCUUGAAGUCAGUCGCGUCGGCCGGAACUCAGCCUUGCUUCCGCUUGGUGUACUUUCCGGUCGACGGGCCAGCAUCGAUUUCGACCGUCGGAAAAAUGCGGGGGGAAUGUGGCACCUUCGGGUGUGUUAUAGCCCCUCGUUGCAUACGACGGUUGGGAUCGAGGAUCGCAGCACGCCUUUAUGGUCGGGGUUCGCCCACGUACGUGCUUAGGAUGCUGGCGUAAU
This 579-nucleotide ribosomal RNA is filed under the name Obba rivulosa. RNAcentral's name for it is "partial 28S ribosomal RNA". It matches the Rfam family "Eukaryotic large subunit ribosomal RNA", at positions 73 to 635 of the family's 3401-position model. Lineage: Eukaryota; Fungi; Basidiomycota; Agaricomycetes; Polyporales; Gelatoporiaceae. The record is from RNAcentral.